This 238-nucleotide ribosomal RNA is filed under the name uncultured bacterium. Its description in RNAcentral is "partial 16S ribosomal RNA". It matches the Rfam family "Bacterial small subunit ribosomal RNA", at positions 818 to 1055 of the family's 1533-position model. The record is from RNAcentral.
AGGUGUGGGGGGUGUCGACUCCCUCCGUGCCGAAGCUAACGCAUUAAGUGCCCCGCCUGGGGAGUACGGCCGCAAGGCUAAAACUCAAAGGAAUUGACGGGGGCCCGCACAAGCAGCGGAGCAUGUGGUUUAAUUCGACGCAACGCGAAGAACCUUACCUGGGCUUGACAUGUGGAUGACCGGCCUGGAAACAGGUCUUCCCUUCGGGGCAUCUUCACAGGUGGUGCAUGGCUGUCGU